GGAUGUAAGGGCGAUCUGGCUGCGACAUCCGUCACCCAAUGGAUCUCCAGGGUUGAUUCGGCUGAUCUGGCUGGCGCUAGGCGGGUGUCCCCUUCCUCCCUCAACGAUCCGUGUGUGUGCGAAAGCUGCGCAGCUCUGUCGAAGAGGACGACCACCGCGAUAGAGAAGGAGCGUUCCUCGGUCAAGGGUGUAUGAGUAGUUGCACUCCCCUGCUAGAACCUCCCAACAAGCUCUCAAGAAAUCAGUGAGUUUGCUGGUGGUGCACCUCAGUGGUAGAGCACUGGCCUGGCAUGGGCAAGACCUUCAGCU
RNAcentral lists this small nuclear RNA (309 nucleotides) under Octodon degus (degu). Its description in RNAcentral is "7SK RNA (ENSODEG00000023806.1)". It matches the Rfam family "7SK RNA". From Rfam's summary of the family: 7SK was discovered as an abundant small nuclear RNA in the mid-70s but a possible function has only recently been suggested. Two independent studies have found that 7SK RNA binds the CDK9/cyclin T complex (known as elongation factor P-TEFb). Lineage: Eukaryota; Metazoa; Chordata; Mammalia; Rodentia; Octodontidae. The record is from Rfam by way of RNAcentral.